Molecule: ribosomal RNA, 1679 nt
Filed under: human metagenome
Description: bacterial LSU rRNA
Rfam family: Bacterial large subunit ribosomal RNA
Source: RNAcentral
GGAGGUUGGCUUAGAAGCAGCCAUCCUUGAAAGAGUGCGUAAUAGCUCACUGGUCGAGUGGUUCUGCGCCGAUAAUGUAGCGGGGCUUAAGUACACCGCCGAAACCGCGGCAACACUAUUUUAUUGGUGUUGGGUAGGGGAGCGUCGUGCAUGUGUUGAAGCUAUUUGGUGACAGGUGGUGGAGUGUGUGCGAGUGAGAAUGCAGGCAUGAGUAACGAUUGAUGUGUGAGAAACAUAUCCGCCGGAUGACUAAGGGUUCCUGGGUGAAGUUUGUCUUCCCAGGGUGAGUCGGGGCCUAAGGCGAGGCCGACAGGCGUAGUCGAUGGAUGACGGGUUGAUAUUCCCGUACCCGUGUGCGUGCGACAAGUGAUGAAUCUUAUGGUACUAACCGCCCGCUUGUUUCUGCUGAUCUUUUUGGUUGGUGGUUUCAGGUGCGUGGGAUCUUCGUGGGUAGUAGUCAAGUGAUGGGGUGACGCAGAGUGGUAGCUAGGCUUCCUUAUUGGAUUGGAGUGCAAGCGUGUGGCCUGUGGGGUUGGGAAAUCCGCCCCACAUGUAAGGUGAGGCGUGAUGCGGACACCAUGUUGUGGUGGUAGUUAGUGUGCCUGUGCUGUCUAGAAAAGCCUCUAGCGAGUGCGUGCAUGGCCCGUACCGGAAACCGACACAGGUGGUCAGGUAGAGAAUACUAAGGCGUUCGGGUGAACUGUGGUUAAGGAACUCGGCAAAAUGCCCCCGUAACUUCGGGAGAAGGGGGACCAUUACUGGUUGCUGACAGCGUGAUGGCUGGUGGUGGUCGCAGAGGAGAGAGGGAAGCGACUGUUUAUUAAAAACACAGGUCCGUGCGAAAACGUGGAAGUUGAGGUAUACGGACUGACGCCUGCCCGGUGCUGGAAGGUUAAGAGGACUCGUGAGCACGCCUAGUGUGUGCGAGGCGGAGAAUUGAAGCCCCAGUAAACGGCGGUGGUAACUAUAACCAUCCUAAGGUAGCGAAAUUCCUUGUCGGGUAAGUUCCGACCUGCACGAAUGGCGUAACGACUUCCCUGCUGUCUCAACCACAGGCCCGGUGAAAUUGCAGUACGAGUAAAGAUGCUCGUUUCGCGCGGCAGGACGAAAAGACCCCGGGACCUUUACUAUAGCUUGGUAUUGGUGUUUGGUCAUGCUUGUGUAGGAUAGGUGGGAGACUGUGAAACCGCAACGCUAGUUGUGGUGGAGUCGCAGGUGAAAUACCACUCUGGUGUGAUUGGGUACCUGAACCUUGGCCCGUGAUCCGGGUUGGGGACAGUGCCUGGUGGGUAGUUUAACUGGGGCGGUUGCCUCCUAAAUGGUAACGGAGGCGCCCAAAGGUUUCCUCAGUCUGGUUGGCAAUCAGAUGGUGAGUGUAAGUGUAUAAGGGAGCUUGACUGUGACACUGACGGGUGGAGCAGGUGCGAAAGCAGGGACUAGUGAUCCGGCAUCGACGUGUGGUUGUGGUGUCGCUCAACGGAUAAAAGGUACCCCGGGGAUAACAGGCUGAUCUUCCCCAAGAGUUCAUAUCGACGGGAUGGUUUGGCACCUCGAUGUCGGCUCGUCGCAUCCUGGGGCUGGAGUAGGUCCCAAGGGUUGGGCUGUUCGCCCAUUAAAGCGGCACGCGAGCUGGGUUUAGAACGUCGUGAGACAGUUCGGUCUCUAUCCGCCGCGCGCGU